Molecule: unclassified non-coding RNA, 180 nt
Filed under: Oryza sativa (Asian cultivated rice)
Lineage: Eukaryota; Viridiplantae; Streptophyta; Magnoliopsida; Poales; Poaceae
Description: partial microRNA MIR446h precursor
Source: RNAcentral
AAAAAAAUAACUAAUUGCACAUGUUGCGACUAAUUUGCGAGACGAAUCUUUUGAGCCUAAUUACGCCAUGAUUUGACAAUGUGGUGCUACAAUAAAUAUUUGCUAAUGACGGAUUAAUUAGGCCUAAUAGAUUCGUCUCGCGGUUUAUUGACGGAUUCUGUAAUUAGUUUUUUUAUUAGU